AUAUUAUAUAUAUACAUAUAUAUAUAUAUAUAUAUAUAUAGGCACAAAGUCCAAUUAAUUAAUAGUAAUUAGCUUGUUUGAUAUUUUAGUCAACAGCAUAAAUUGUACUGCAUUAUCUUAUCACUACAGGUGGGAGAUAAUAUAGUUAGGAACGAAUUACAUUGUCCAGUAUUUCCGUCAUACAUUGUCUUCGAAUUUGGCUGCUAUUUACAGUAAGUUGGUGGACUGGUGAUUUUUAAAAAAAAAAGCCUUUUUGAUUCCUAUUUUACUCAAAUGUACUCUCCUAGCCAUUCGAUGUUUUGAAAAAAUUAUUUUUAUAAUUAAAUAUUAUUGGGAAUUGUAUAAAGAAAUUUUAAAAAAUAUUUUGUAAAUUGUAGAAGUAUAACCAAGUUAUUGCAGAUAAAUUUCAGCAGCAAAAUCUUACAUGCACCCACAAGGGGCAUAUUGACCCCUGUUUGGGAACCAUAGGUUUAAAUGAACGUCAGCCAAGCAGUGGAAUAAUUUUAGUUGACUGAAUUCUGAAUGCUGUUACAUUGCUGAAGACCAUAAAGAACAGAUCUGUUUUUGUCUUCUGGGAAAUGUCAUCAACAAAGUAGCCAGCCAUGACAAUGUCCCCUUCUAUAAUUAAUCAUAAAAUAGUUGUACUUGUUGAAAACUCCAUAUCUUCAGUUUUGAUCGGGGACGUGCCAUCUAGGUAGGCAGCGCCUAGCUUGGAUAAAAUAGAUUGAUAACAUACAAGUUCCUUUCAUGGCAAAAUAUACACCUAAUUCAAUAAAAUCCUGAAGGCUACUCUGAAUACUAUGCAUAAAAUGCAAAAUAAAUUUUUUUUUUUGUAGAUUAGGUAGGCAUAAUUCACCCCUGCUUUUCAAUCUCACUAUUUAAGCUAUUCUAUCGGUAACAGGACAUAAACACACCAGCAUCGGUUGUCAAGCAAUACUAGGGGGACAAACACAGACAUACAUACAAACACACACACGCAUAUAAUAUAUAUACAUAUAUACGACGGGCUUCUUUCAGUUUCCAUCUACAAAAUCCACUCACAAGGCUUUGGUCGGCCCGAGGCUAUAGUAGAAGACACUUUCCCAAGGUGCCACGCAGUGGGACUGAACCCGGAACCAUGUGGUUGGUAAACAAGCUACUUACCACACAGCCACUCCUAUGCAUAAUACUGCUCUAAUACAUGUGCUGUGUACAUUCCUACAACGUUUUCUUUACCUGCUAUAAAAGCAGAAGUAAAUCUGCCUACAACUCAGUCAUGUGUCUGUGUUUUGCUUAUUGUGUGUUUUACUACAUAAAGGUCACCAACUGCCUACCCUGAGUAAUUACUGAUGGCACAUGCCUGGUAUUGAUACUUUAAAAAAAAAAAAGUUUUAAAAUCUUAUCUGGAGUUCUCACAUUCUUUGUGAUUGCAAGGUAUUUAUGUGUACUUCACCCAUGCUUACACACAAAACGCACUCACAUUCAAAUUUCUGUUAUAUAGAGGAAGGUGAGUUUGUAGACUCAGUGUCAGAGAAAGAGCCUUGUGGUACUGGCAGAAACGUUAGCACGCCGGGCGAAAUGCUGAACGGUAUUUCGUCUGCCGCUACGUCCUGAGUUCAAAUUCCACCGAGGUCAACUUUGCCUUUCAUACUUUCGGGGUCGAUUAAAUAAGUACCAGUUACGCAUUGGAGUCGAUAUGAUCGACUUAAUCCGUUUGUCUGUCCUUGUUUGUCUUCUCUGUGUUUAGCCCCUUGUGGGCAGUAAAGAAAUAAGUACUUGUUCCAUCACUCUGCAUUCGAAAUUGUAAUCCUGCCGAGAUCAACUUUACCUUUCAUCCAAGCGCUGGUGUCGAUGGUAUUGACUAACCCCGUCACCUGGCCUUGUAUCAAAAGCAGAAGCAAUUGUUACACUGAAGGAUGCAUCAGCAGGAUUAUUAAGAAGAGAAUGUAGAAAAUGCUUUGGAGAUAGUUAUUUCCCUUCAUACUUCUGAGGAUUGAGGACAUGUAUGAAUUACGUCCCUUACAUUCCAAACUGUAAAACUCGCGAGCCACCUCUGACUUCGAUCGUUGUAAUAUUAAGAAAAAUAUAUAUAAACUGUCAGGUAUCUAAAUUAGUUUAAUCAACUGAGAUUGAUGUUUAACUCUUCCCCAGCUGCCUUCCAGCAUUUUACCCCACCUCUUGGCCAUCACAGACACACUCGUAUAAAACUAUUAAGCAGAUAAACCGUUGCAUUAGUAAAAUAAAAUAAUCAUCCAAUAACUAUAUAACAAAGUAUAUUAAAUGAUUUUGCUAUUGUUCAUGAAACUUCUGAUUCUCUACUUAUAAUUUUUAUACUUUUCUAAAAACUCUCAACAUUUAUAUAAUAAAAA
RNAcentral lists this long non-coding RNA (2348 nucleotides) under Octopus vulgaris (common octopus). The record is from RNAcentral. Lineage: Eukaryota; Metazoa; Mollusca; Cephalopoda; Octopoda; Octopodidae.